This 252-nucleotide non-coding RNA is filed under the name Amborella trichopoda. Its description in RNAcentral is "Bacterial small subunit ribosomal RNA". It matches the Rfam family "Bacterial small subunit ribosomal RNA", at positions 948 to 1171 of the family's 1533-position model. The record is from Rfam by way of RNAcentral. Lineage: Eukaryota; Viridiplantae; Streptophyta; Magnoliopsida; Amborellales; Amborellaceae.
AAUUCGAUGCAAAGCGAAGAACCUUAACAGGGCUUGACAUGCCGUGAAUCCUCUUGAAAGAGAGGGGUGCCUUCGGGAACGCAGACACAGGUGGUGCAUGGUUGUCAUAAGGUGUUGCGUUAAGUCCCACAAUGAGCGCAACCCUUGUGUUUAGUUGUGGGUAGAGCUAGAUCUACAUGUUGGCUAGGUAAGCAUCCUAUAGUAAGAUGAGUAGUUAUGAACGUUGUAGACCAUCCCCAUGGGGGUGGUGAA